GCAGAGCACUCCUCGGGGAGGCAGCAGUGGGGAAUAUUGCACAAUGGGCGCAAGCCUGAUGCAGCCAUGCCGCGUGUAUGAAGAAGGCCUUCGGGUUGUAAAGUACUUUCAGCAGUGAGGAAGGUGGGUAUGUUAAUAGCAUAUUCAUUUGACGUUAGCUGCAGAAGAAGCACCGGCUAACUCCGUGCCAGCAGCCGCGGUAAUACGGAGGGUGCGAGCGUUAAUCGGAAUUACUGGGCGUAAAGCGCAUGCAGGUGGUUUGUUAAGUCAGAUGUGAAAGCCCGGGGCUCAACCUCGGAAUUGCAUUUGAAACUGGCAAACUAGAGUACUGUAGAGGGGGGUAGAAUUUCAGGUGUAGCGGUGAAAUGCGUAGAGAUCUGAAGGAAUACCGGUGGCGAAGGCGGCCCCCUGGACAGAUACUGACACUCAGAUGCGAAAGCGUGGGGAGCAAACAGGAUUAGAUACCCUGGUAG
Molecule: ribosomal RNA, 473 nt
Filed under: uncultured bacterium
Lineage: Bacteria
Description: bacterial SSU rRNA
Rfam family: Bacterial small subunit ribosomal RNA
Source: RNAcentral